GACAGGGGGCUCGAGCGUUAAUCGGAAUCACUGGGCGUAAAGGGUGCGCAGGCGGCCAAGUGUGUGAGGCGUGAAAGCCCGGGGCUUAACCCCGGAAUUGCACCUCAAACUACAUGGCUAGAGCAUUGGAGAGGGUAGCGGAAUUCACGGUGUAGCAGUGAAAUGCGUAGAUAUCGUGAGGAACACCAGAGGCGAAGGCGGCUACCUGGACAAUUGCUGACGCUCAGGCACGAAAGCGUGGGGAGCAAAAGGG
Molecule: ribosomal RNA, 253 nt
Filed under: uncultured bacterium
Lineage: Bacteria
Description: partial 16S ribosomal RNA
Rfam family: Bacterial small subunit ribosomal RNA
Source: RNAcentral